CUUCCUUGGAUUUGCCGGUUUCUACAGACGGUUCAUCAAGGACUUUGGUAAGUUGGCCGCACCUCUUCAUGCACUUACCGCUACCAAUGUCCCCUUUCAGUGGAACCGUGAUGCAGGAAUGGCGUUCUGGAGCCUCAAAAGACGUUUCAUCUCUGCACCCAUCCUUGUUUAUCCGGACCCAGACCUUCCGUUCAUUGUUGAGGUGGACGCCUCCGACUCGGGUAUAGGUGCAGUUCUGUCCCAACGCUCCAAGCAGGAUAACAAGACCGGGCUCCCGUCAUACAAAGGCUGAUGCCCACUCAUGUCAGUUCUCGGAGGAGAGAAUUGACAAUGCCCCAGAAGAGACUAUCGUUCCUCUCUCCAAAAUUAUCGGCAUGGUCACAUGGGCAGUGGAGGGACUGGUCAAGGAAGCCCUAAAGGUUAGUCCGGGACCCAAGGGAGGACCUCCCAACAAACUAUUCGUUCCUCGUGACCUGCGACCUCGAGUUCUGGACUGGGGACACUCUAGUGUGUUCACCUGCCAUCCGUGAUUUCAGUGUACCCUAUCCUUCAUCCGCCGGCGGUUCUGGUGGCCAUCCAUGGCCAAUGAUACCCGUGAGUUCAUUUCUGCUUGUACCACUUGUGCACGUAAUAAGCCUUCCCACAGACCGCCUGCAGGACUAUUGCUCCCCCUACCUGUUCCCAGUCGCCCAUGGUCACAGAUAUCUCUGGACUUCAUCACUGGCUUCCCACCUUCCCAAGGUAACACCACUAUUCUCACCAUUAUUGACCGUUUUUCUAAAGCCGCACACUUCAUUCCGCUACCCAAACUUCCAUCUUCUUCCGAGACUGCUGAUCUUAUCACAAAUCAUAUUGUCAGACUUCACGGAAUUCCUGUGGACAUCGUCUCGGACCGUGGUCCCCAGUUCCCCUCCCGGGUGUGGCAGAACUUUUGCAAGGGAAUCGGGGCCACGGUCAGUUUUACCUCGGGUUACCACCCUCAGAGCAACGGUCAAGCAGAAAGAGCCAAUCAAAGUGUUGAGACCAUGCUACGUUGUAUCUCCGCCAGACAACCAUCCUCUUGGUGCAAGUUUCUGUCUUGGGUUGAAUUUGCUCAUAAUUCUUUGAAGAGUUCAGCGACCGGAUUGUCACCUUUUGAGUGCUCCUUAGGUUACCAACCACCUAUGUUUCAUCAACAGGAAAUUGAAGCUGCAGUUCCCUCUCCCCAUAAACACAUCAAAUGAUGCCAGCAAAUUUGAAAAGCCGCCCGGGCUUCCCUUAUUAAAUCCGCUGAAAGAAUGUGCCGCAGUGCUAAUCAUCGACGCAUCCCGGCUCCCUCAUAUUCACCGGGUCAACAAGUUCUUCUACGAACUGAAUAUCUUCAUCUUGAGGUACCGUCUCGUAAACUUGCACCCCGAUUUGUAGGCCCAUACAACAUUGAGGCCAUAAUAAACCCUGCUGCUGUUAAACUUUCCUUACCUCCUUCAGUCAAGCGACAUCCCGUGAUCCAUGUUUCCCAGAUCAAACCAGUUGUUACUUCCCACCCCACCCCCUCCCAGGAUUUUGGACAAUGGUGACCCUGUUUGGACCGUUAAAGAAAUUCUCGGGGUCCGUCGGCAAGGUAGGGGGUUAGUGUAUUUAGUUGAUUGGGAGGGUUAUGGGCCUGAAGAUAGGUCUUGGGUCCUUGCCUCCUACCUUGCUGACCCAUCGCUGCUUGAGGAUUUCUAUCGGGCCAACCCAGGAGCUCGUCGGGGGUCUCGCAUAAGGGGGUGGGCACUGUUAUGACACACGCUCAGUCUUCCCUGCCUUCAUCUGCGGGAGAACUCGACGGCUCCACUCUGAGUGCGUCCACACGCGCCACACCCAGACACGCCCCCUCGCGCGCAGCGCGGACCGCUCACACACACAACUGGAGACGAUCACCAAUCAAGACACCUGGCAGUGAUUACGGACGACAGAAUAAAGAUUCCCGCCGCUGAACCCUCGUCGUUGGAACGUUGCUAUUGCUUGCACCCCUGUCUCCAUUCCUGCUGCCAUCCUCUCUGGAACCCUGAUUUGCUCUCCUGGAUCCCUGACACAUUGCCUGGACUUUGGACGCUCUCGCCUGCCCCACGACCACGCUCGGACACCGGAUUGCUUUUGCCUUCUCCCUCUGGUUUUGGACGCCACCAUCCAACACGCAUGACAACAUUCUUUACGGUAUUUCCAUAUGUUAAUUCCAGCACAUAGUACACACUCAAACAUAUAGUAGCAUACACAUCCCACGUUAUCAUUAAUUACUCAAUAAAUAUUGAGUUGGACUUCCACUGUUGUGCCGUCUCCUUCCACCUGUCUUCGCCUUAACACCUAGUUUGUGAAUGUUGUCUUUCUAUCUGUGGUGGCCCUGCGAUGAGAUGGCUACUUGUCCAGGGUGUACGCCGCCCUCUGCCUGAAUGCAGCUGAGAUAGGCUCAAGCGCCCCCCGUGUUCCCAAAAAGGGACAAGCGGUAGGAAAUGGAUGGAUGGAUGUGUCAUGACUUGUCACCGCAGGUUACCUUGUCUUGGUUUUGUAAUCUGUGCAUCCUGUGUUUGAGGUUUUCUUUACCUUUGCAGCGCUCCUUCCUCUGGUCUAGUCACACCUGACCCUCUCAUAACCAGGAGAGUUUAUAUGUCAGCUUCACCUGCCCCUUGCUGCUGGAUGAUUACUUGUGUUUGUUUCCUGUGCACUUCAAUGUGGCACUAGUUGUUGUUUAUUCAAUAUCAAACAGUUUUAUUUGCACACUGUCUCUUGUUUCCGCAUCUUGGGGUCACAAUUACUGUAAGGUAGGGUUGGGUAUCGCAGGGGUAGGGAACCUAUGGCUCGAGAGCCAGAUGUGGCUCUUUUGAUGACUGCGUCUGGCUCUCAGAUAGAUCUUAGCUGACAUUGUUUAACACGAUAAGUAAUGAAUGAUUCCGCUGGUAAUCACAGUGUCAAAAAUAACGUUCAAAAUAUAAAACCUUCUCAUACAUUUUCAUCCAUUCAUCCGGUUUCUACCACACCUGUUCAAGAAGUCGCAUUAAUGGUAAGAAGUAUUUUAUUUAUUUUUGGUUAGCCUCAGAAAAACAAUGUUAUUGAAAAGAAAAUAAGACUCUUUAUACUCUAAAAAUGUUGGUCUUUCUUAAAAAUCCACGCAUAUAGUUGUAUUCAGUGUUAAAUAAUAUAAAAUGACAUGGCUCUCACGGAAAUACUUUUAUAAAUGUUUGGCUUGUAUGGCUCUCUCCGCCAAAAAGGUUCCCGACCCCUGGAGUAUCGAUUGAAACAGUGACUAACUUUCCGAUUUUCCCGGAAUCGUUCAAAAGUUUAAAUUUCGAUUCCUAGUUUCGAGACCCAGUUCGCCGACCGGAAAAAAAUAAGUCCGCCAACCCAGAAGAAGAAGCCGAUGAACACCAACGAAGAAGCGCCAAACGUCUGAAGUGUUAGCAUAGCCGAGCCUAUGUAGCCGAGCGAGUCAGUCAAGCAUGGAUAGCGGGCGUCGGCGGUCGAAAGUGUGGCUUUAUUUUGCUAAAAAAAAUUAAAUAUCGGCGAAAUGUAACACGUGCGACAGGACUGUUUCGUGCUUAGGAGGGUGCACGUCGAAUAUGAUGAAGCCCCUCCGAGUUCAUGGAGUACAACUAAAUGUGUGUCCCGUCUUCGACAGGAGACACUAUCUGUCCAGAACGCUCAUGCAUCCUGCCUGAGAAGGCGGAUAUGGUCAUUUUCCUGAACAAGAACUGUCUCUGAUUUUAUACUGUACCUGCUGCUAAUAGGGACUGGGUUUUGAAAGUUGUUUUUUUAUUGUUUAUUUGCUUUUCUCCACCAGGUUAGCCCAUCAGUGGGAGUACAGUAACAUGUUUAAGUACCUGCAGCAUCAUACACUUGUGUGUGUAAAUGUGUUUUCAUGAGGUUUCCUGCAGUAUCAUACACUUAUGUGUAAAUGUGU
Long non-coding RNA from Nerophis ophidion (straightnose pipefish), 3916 nucleotides. RefSeq lists it as uncharacterized. The record is from RefSeq and is a predicted model, not a curated record. Lineage: Eukaryota; Metazoa; Chordata; Actinopteri; Syngnathiformes; Syngnathidae. The transcript is spliced from 3 exons.